Molecule: ribosomal RNA, 231 nt
Filed under: uncultured bacterium
Lineage: Bacteria
Description: partial 16S ribosomal RNA
Rfam family: Bacterial small subunit ribosomal RNA
Source: RNAcentral
UGAGCAAUCUGCCCUUCUCAUCGGAAUAAGCGUUGGAAACGACGUCUAAUGCCGAAUACGACCUCCUUUCGCAUGAUCGGAGGUGGAAAGCUCCGGCGGAGAAGGAUGAGCUCGCGGCCUAUCAGCUAGUUGGUGUGGGUAAUGGCCCACCAAGGCGACGACGGGUANCUGGUCUGAGAGGAUGGCCAGCCACAGUUGGGACUGAGACACGGCCCAGACUCCGUAACGGGG